AUGGGAGAUCCCUUUCUCCUGGAGGAGAUAGGUCUGCUUGCUCUUAAGUCUGCUGCAGACGAAGGACAGAACCAAAGCCAAGGUUCUUCUGUGCAGCUCCUGGAGACAUUUUCGAAACUUCUGGAACUCGUGACCCUCCGCCACCGGCUAAUAGAAAUGAGUCUGGAGAGUGUACACUUAGCUCGUCUCUACAAGGAACUGGCGUGGGAGAUGGGUUUUGAAGAGUUCCAUUUGUAUCUGAGGCCCAUUCACUUUGAAUUUGCAUCACUCAAAGACAAAGUGGACCACCCGCCUCCUGUCUUUAUCACCUCUCUGCUGGAGGACAGUGAUCAAGUGGACAGAUAUGCUCCUGCUACCCUUGUCUUAGCCAUCUCUGAGGUGGAUGAGAACCAGGUUGGCAAGUUCAGCUUUUAUACAAAGGAAGCCAUCCUUAAGCUCUUAUCCCAUUCAGGAGUGGAAAAUAUGCAAGUGACCCUUGCAUGCCAAGCAGCUCAGAAAAAUGCCUUGAUGGUGGCUGUCCAGCAGGCAUCCUCCUAUCCCAUGGCCCGGUGGGGCUGUCCUGCUGAUGCAAAGGAAAUAAGUUCAGAUCUGAGAAAUCAUGGUGGAAUGGGUCCAGCCAGAAGAAGAAAUUCCAGAAUUGUGAAUGACAUAGAGAAUGCACCGGUAGCCCCAACUCCAAAAGUUCCAGACACCCUUACUCACCCUUCAGAAAGAGUCCAGGCUACCAAAAGGUACUACCCUAGAGGUUUGUUUAAAAAUAACAAAGGUGUCUUCUUUAAGUCAAUCAAUAAUGUAGUGUUAGGGGAUUAAAGGAUGCCUAAAUUCCCAAAGUGACCAGCAUGUGUUUAAUUUUUAAGACGUCAUAUGAAGACUUUGUAUAAACACUGAGAAGGCUCAACUCCUUCCAGUAUACGGUCUAUGGAGAGUCACUGGUUCGCUAUUUCAGCCCCUUUUCUCCUCCCUUCUCCCUUCUCUUUGUCUCCCCUUUGUCUUCCCUCUCUCUAUAUUUUUCAAACCCAACAGACAGAACAUAAGAAAGAAGAAUAUGGGCCUCUCCAAGUCUUCCAUGUUUAUCUCAAACUGAAAAGCACAGAAUUACCCUCACUCUUCCAACAAGGAUUUUACCAAUGCUUAGGAUAAUAAGGUGAUGCCUUAUCGGAGAGCUACAACCUCUGCCGAGAGAUGGCUGUAAAUCAAGAAUGUCCUAUGAUGUCCCGAUCUCUUUCUACCAUGACAGAAAAAGAGAGAUAUUUGUAUUCUAUAAUAAAUAUCUUGAGUAUUUCCUGUAACA
RNAcentral lists this long non-coding RNA (1291 nucleotides) under Neogale vison (American mink). Its description in RNAcentral is "Neovison vison (American mink) lncRNA (ENSNVIG00000004642.1)". Lineage: Eukaryota; Metazoa; Chordata; Mammalia; Carnivora; Mustelidae. The record is from RNAcentral.